RNAcentral lists this ribosomal RNA (457 nucleotides) under uncultured bacterium. Its description in RNAcentral is "bacterial SSU rRNA". It matches the Rfam family "Bacterial small subunit ribosomal RNA", at positions 30 to 476 of the family's 1533-position model. The record is from RNAcentral.
AUUGAACGCUGGCGGCAGGCCUAACACAUGCAAGUCGAACGGUAGCACAGAGAGCUUGCUCUCGGGUGACGAGUGGCGGACGGGUGAGUAAUGUCUGGGAAACUGCCUGAUGGAGGGGGAUAACUACUGGAAACGGUAGCUAAUACCGCAUAACGUCGCAAGACCAAAGAGGGGGACCUUCGGGCCUCUUGCCAUCAGAUGUGCCCAGAUGGGAUUAGCUAGUAGGUGGGGUAACGGCUCACCUAGGCGACGAUCCCUAGCUGGUCUGAGAGGAUGACCAGCCACACUGGAACUGAGACACGGUCCAGACUCCUACGGGAGGCAGCAGUGGGGAAUAUUGCACAAUGGGCGCAAGCCUGAUGCAGCCAUGCCGCGUGUAUGAAGAAGGCCUUCGGGUUGUAAAGUACUUUCAGCGGGGAGGAAGGUGUUGUGGUUAAUAACCACAGCAAUUGACGUA